GACGAACGCUGGCGGCGUGCUUAACACAUGCAAGUCGAACGGAAAGGCCCUGCCUUUGUGGGGUGCUCGAGUGGCGAACGGGUGAGUAACACGUGAGUAACCUGCCCUUGACUUUGGGAUAACUUCAGGAAACUGGGGCUAAUACCGGAUAGGAGCUCCUGCUGCAUGGUGGGGGUUGGAAAGUUUCGGCGGUUGGGGAUGGGCUCGCGGCUUAUCAGCUUGUUGGUGGGGUAGUGGCUUACCAAGGCUUUGACGGGUAGCCGGCCUGAGAGGGUGACCGGCCACAUUGGGACUGAGAUACGGCCCAGACUCCUACGGGAGGCAGCAGUGGGGAAUAUUGCACAAUGGGCGGAAGCCUGAUGCAGCAACGCCGCGUGCGGGAUGACGGCCUUCGGGUUGUAAACCGCUUUCGCCUGUGACGAAGCGUGAGUGACGGUAAUGGGUAAAGAAGCACCGGCUAACUACGUG
This 468-nucleotide ribosomal RNA is filed under the name uncultured bacterium. RNAcentral describes it as "partial 16S ribosomal RNA". It matches the Rfam family "Bacterial small subunit ribosomal RNA", at positions 28 to 507 of the family's 1533-position model. The record is from RNAcentral.